Long non-coding RNA from Eriocheir sinensis (Chinese mitten crab), 894 nucleotides. RefSeq lists it as uncharacterized. The record is from RefSeq and is a predicted model, not a curated record. Lineage: Eukaryota; Metazoa; Arthropoda; Malacostraca; Decapoda; Varunidae. The transcript has 3 exons.
CUAAGCUGGGUCCAUUUGGACCCCCCAAUUUGCGCGUCAAAUUUCCCGGUCAAUGCCCAUCUUACCCACAAUGCAUUGCUUGUUUAUACGGCCAUUUUCUCAUCACUUGGACCUCAGCGGUCGUGGCUGGUGGAUGGUACGUGACAGUAUUAGCGUUAUUAGUGAUUUAUAGGCAGUGCUUGGUCCACAUGGACCCAUGGUUAUAAGCAGUGUUACAUAUGGACUAUGCACAUGCAGUACGUAAUGGGCAUUUUUUUCUGUGUGAUGUAGAAAAUAUUGUAAUGUGUGGUGUUGUACAAUACUGCCGAGAGUUGAACCAUGUUGUUAUGUUGUGAAACUGGCAUUUCUAUCUAUAUUUAGUUUAUUUUUACUCGUUUUCCUCGGACAGGUGUGUUGAACACCUGUCACGUGAAAAGCAGGUGUUGUGAGACAAGCAGAGAAGCAGUGCUGUUGAUCAGGAGCCAGUGCUACACCUCCUGUGAUCGAGGGAGUGCUGUUGCACGGCUGCAGUGCUUCGACUUGUUCGAGGAACAACCUGAUCGAGUAGGAGAAGGCCCCAAAAUCAAGAAGAGGUGCUCACUCUGCAAAUAUCAGAAGAACAUGGCAAAGAUCCGAACUGUGUGUGGCUACUGCAAGAGACCUGCAUGUGCCAAACACAUCACAUAUCAGUGUGAUGAUUGCAGAUUCUAAAAGAUCACACUCAAGAAAGGACCAUGGUGGGCUGCUUUGGGCAGAUAUAACUUCAGCAACUGUCCAACUAAAGGGAAUAAGUAGUUACUAAGCUCAAAAUUAGUUAUUAUAUUUUUCUCAUAAUAUUUUUGCAAACUAUGUGAAAUUUCGGAAAAUUUACAUUUUUAAUUUUGCUACAAUAAAAAUAUGGCAUAUUUUUCUUUA